RNAcentral lists this ribosomal RNA (443 nucleotides) under uncultured bacterium. RNAcentral describes it as "bacterial SSU rRNA". It matches the Rfam family "Bacterial small subunit ribosomal RNA", at positions 337 to 797 of the family's 1533-position model. The record is from RNAcentral.
GCCUACGGGGCGCAGCAGUGGGGAAUCUUAGACAAUGGGGGAAACCCUGAUCUAGCCAUGCCGCGUGAUCGAUGAAGGCCUUAGGGUUGUAAAGAUCUUUCAGGUGGGAAGAUAAUGACUGUACCACCAGAAGAAGCCCCGGCUAACUCCGUGCCAGCAGCCGCGGUAAUACGGAGGGGGCUAGCGUUAUUCGGAAUUACUGGGCGUAAAGCGCACGUAGGCGGACUGAAAAGUCAGAGGUGAAAUCCCAGGGCUCAACCUUGGAACUGCCUUUGAAACUCUCAGUCUUGAGGUCGAGAGAGGUGAGUGGAAUUCCGAGUGUAGAGGUGAAAUUCGUAGAUAUUCGGAGGAACACCAGUGGCGAAGGCGGCUCACUGGCUCGAUACUGACGCUGAGGUGCGAAAGCGUGGGGAGCAAACAGGAUUAGAUACCCGUGUAGUCGU